RNAcentral lists this ribosomal RNA (499 nucleotides) under uncultured bacterium. Its description in RNAcentral is "partial 16S ribosomal RNA". It matches the Rfam family "Bacterial small subunit ribosomal RNA", at positions 899 to 1397 of the family's 1533-position model. The record is from RNAcentral.
ACUCAAAUGAAUUGACGGGGGCCCGCACAAGCGGUGGAGCAUGUGGUUUAAUUCGACGCAACGCGAAGAACCUUACCUGGGCUCGAACGGCUGAUCAACGACGGUAGAAAUAUCGUUACUCCGCAAGGGGGUUCAGUCGAGGUGCUGCAUGGCUGUCGUCAGCUCGUGUCGUGAGAUGUUGGGUUAAGUCCCGCAACGAGCGCAACCCUUGCCCUGUGUUGCCAUCAUUCAGUUGGGAACUCUCAGGGGACCGCCAGCGAUAAGUUGGAGGAAGGUGGGGACGACGUCAAGUCAUCAUGGCCUUUAUGUCCAGGGCUACACACGUGCUACAAUGGCCGGUACAAUACGACGCUAACCCGCGAGGGGGAGCAAAUCGGAAAAAACCGGUCUCAGUUCGGAUCGCAGGCUGCAACUCGCCUGCGUGAAGCUGGAAUCGCUAGUAAUGCCGGAUCAGCAUGCCGGCGUGAAUACGUUCCCGGGCCUUGUACACACCGCCCGU